GAACCUCUUUCGGGAGGGGAUUAGUGGCGAACGGGUGAGUAACACGUGGGCAAUCUGCCCUGCACUCUGGGAUAACUCCGGGAAACCGGAGCUAAUACCGGAUACGACCAUCGCGGGCAUCUGUGGUGGUGGAAAGCUCCGGCGGUGCAGGAUGAGCCCGCGGCCUAUCAGCUUGUUGGUGGGGUAGUGGCCUACCAAGGCGACGACGGGUAGCCGGCCUGAGAGGGCGACCGGCCACACUGGGACUGAGACACGGCCCAGACUCCUACGGGAGGCAGCAGUGGGGAAUAUUGCACAAUGGGCGCAAGCCUGAUGCAGCGACGCCGCGUGAGGGAUGACGGCCUUCGGGUUGUAAACCUCUUUCAGCAGGGAAGAAGCGGAAGUGACGGUACCUGCAGAAGAAGCACCGGCUAACUACGUGCCAGCAGCCGCGGUAAUACGUAGGGUGCGAGCGUUGUCCGGAAUUAUUGGGCGUAAAGAGCUCGUAGGCGGCUUGUCGCGUCGGAUGUGAAAGCCCGGGGCUUAACCCCGGGUCUGCAUUCGAUACGGGCAGGCUAGAGUUCGGUAGGGGAGAUCGGAAUUCCUGGUGUAGCGGUGAAAUGCGCAGAUAUCAGGAGGAACACCGGUGGCGAAGGCGGAUCUCUGGGCCGAUACUGACGCUGAGGAGCGAAAGCGUGGGGAGCGAACAGGAUUAGAUACCCUGGUAGUCCACGCCGUAAACGUUGGGCACUAGGUGUGGGCGGCAUUCCACGUCGUCCGUGCCGCAGCUAACGCAUUAAGUGCCCCGCCUGGGGAGUACG
This 800-nucleotide ribosomal RNA is filed under the name Streptomyces sp. 41572. Its description in RNAcentral is "bacterial SSU rRNA". It matches the Rfam family "Bacterial small subunit ribosomal RNA", at positions 70 to 884 of the family's 1533-position model. The record is from RNAcentral. Lineage: Bacteria; Bacillati; Actinomycetota; Actinomycetes; Kitasatosporales; Streptomycetaceae.